Molecule: ribosomal RNA, 497 nt
Filed under: uncultured bacterium
Lineage: Bacteria
Description: partial 16S ribosomal RNA
Rfam family: Bacterial small subunit ribosomal RNA
Source: RNAcentral
GAUGAACGCUGGCGGCGUGCCUAAUACAUGCAAGUCGAGCGAACAGACGAGGAGCUUGCUCCUCUGACGUUAGCGGCGGACGGGUGAGUAACACGUGGAUAACCUACCUAUAAGACUGGGAUAACUUCGGGAAACUGGAGCUACUACCGGAUAAUAUAUUGAACCGCAUGGUUCAAUAGUGAAAGACGGUUUUGCUGUCACUUAUAGAUGGAUCCGCGCCGCAUUAGCUAGUUGGUAAGGUAACGGCUUACCAAGGCGACGAUGCGUAGCCGACCUGAGAGGGUGAUCGGCCACACUGGAACUGAGACACGGUCCAGACUCCUACGGGAGGCAGCAGUAGGGAAUCUUCCGCAAUGGGCGAAAGCCUGACGGAGCAACGCCGCGUGAGUGAUGAAGGUCUUCGGAUCGUAAAACUCUGUUAUUAGGGAAGAACAAAUGUGUAAGUAACUAUGCACGUCUUGACGGUACCUAAUCAGAAAGCCACGGCUAACUACGUG